CAAAAUUCGUUGAUGAGAACAAUGUCUGAUGCAGUUUUAUUUGCAGAGAGCCUGUGGUCGGUGUAAACAGGUAAUGAACAAAUCAGGAUAUCCUCUCUAAGAAGCAGGCUGAAAGCAAGCGAUAGUGAUGCAUUGCCGGUAAGUUUUGUCGGUUUCCACCGUUAUAUGGAUAGCAUAUGUUGGUAUGUGAAGAGCUGUAAUGAUUUUUACAGAAUCAGGGUGGUAACGCGGAUUAUAUUCGUCCCUUUU
RNAcentral lists this non-coding RNA (249 nucleotides) under Clostridium sp. RNAcentral's name for it is "T-box sequence". It matches the Rfam family "T-box leader". Rfam says of the family: Uncharged tRNA acts as the effector for transcription antitermination of genes in the T-box leader family. T-boxes are found upstream of many aminoacyl-tRNA synthetase genes and some amino acid biosynthetic genes usually in Gram-positive bacteria. The record is from RNAcentral. Lineage: Bacteria; Bacillati; Bacillota; Clostridia; Eubacteriales; Clostridiaceae.